UACGAAGGGGGCUAGCGUUGUUCGGAUUUACUGGGCGUAAAGCGCACGUAGGCGGAUAUUUAAGUCAGGGGUGAAAUCCCGGGGCUCAACCCCGGAACUGCCUCUGAUACUGGAUAUCUCGAGUCCGGAAGAGGUGAGUGGAAUUCCGAGUGUAGAGGUGAAAUUCGUAGAUAUUGGGAAGAACACCGGUGGCGAAGGCGGCACUCUGGACCGAGACUGACGCUGAGGCGCGAAAGCGUGGGGAGCAAACAGG
RNAcentral lists this ribosomal RNA (253 nucleotides) under uncultured bacterium. RNAcentral's name for it is "partial 16S ribosomal RNA". It matches the Rfam family "Bacterial small subunit ribosomal RNA", at positions 524 to 776 of the family's 1533-position model. The record is from RNAcentral.